UCAGAACGAACGCUGGGGCAGGCCUAACACAUGCAAGUCGAGCGCUCACUUCGGUGGGAGCGGCGGACGGGUUAGUAACGCGUGGGAACGUACCCUUCUCUACGGAAUAGCCUCGGGAAACUGAGAGUAAUACCGUAUACGCCCUUUGGGGGAAAGAUUUAUCGGAGAAGGAUCGGCCCGCGUUAGAUUAGAUAGUUGGUGGGGUAAUGGCCUACCAAGUCUACGAUCUAUAGCUGGUUUUAGAGGAUGAUCAGCAACACUGGGACUGAGACACGGCCCAGACUCCUACGGGAGGCAGCAGUGGGGAAUCUUAGACAAUGGGCGCAAGCCUGAUCUAGCCAUGCCGCGUGUGUGAUGAAGGCCCUAGGGUCGUAAAGCACUUUCGCCAGGGAUGAUAAUGACAGUACCUGGUAAAGAAACCCCGGCUAACUCCGUGCCAGCAGCCGCGGUAAUACGGAGGGGGUUAGCGUUGUUCGGAAUUACUGGGCGUAAAGCGCGCGUAGGCGGAUCAGAAAGUAUGGGGUGAAAUCCCGGGGCUCAACCUCGGAACUGCCUCAUAAACUACUGGUCUAGAGUUCGAGAGAGGUGAGUGGAAUUCCGAGUGUAGAGGUGAAAUUCGUAGAUAUUCGGAGGAACACCAGUGGCGAAGGCGGCUCACUGGCUCGAUACUGACGCUGAGGUGCGAAAGUGUGGGGAGCAAACAGGAUUAGAUACCCUGGUAGUCCACACCGUAAACGAUGAAUGCCAGUCGUCGGCAAGCAUGCUUGUCGGUGACACACCUAACGGAUUAAGCAUUCCGCCUGGGGAGUACGGUCGCAAGAUUAAAACUCAAAGGAA
Molecule: ribosomal RNA, 837 nt
Filed under: Rhodobacteraceae bacterium ACEMC 11-4
Lineage: Bacteria; Pseudomonadati; Pseudomonadota; Alphaproteobacteria; Rhodobacterales; Paracoccaceae
Description: bacterial SSU rRNA
Rfam family: Bacterial small subunit ribosomal RNA
Source: RNAcentral